CUAGCUGUAAACGAUGGAUACUGGGCGUUGAGAGUAUCGACCCUCUCAGUGUCGUAGCUAACGCGUUAAGUAUCCCGCCUGGGGAGUACGCGCGCAAGCGUGAAACUCAAAGGAAUUGACGGGGGCCCGCACAAGCGGUGGAGUAUGUGGUUUAAUUCGAUGCAACGCGAAGAACCUUACCAGGGCUUGACAUGUCCGGAACCCUGCCCAAAGGCGGGGGUGCCUACGGGAACCGGAACACAGGUGGUGC
RNAcentral lists this ribosomal RNA (250 nucleotides) under uncultured Chroococcidiopsis sp. Its description in RNAcentral is "partial 16S ribosomal RNA". It matches the Rfam family "Bacterial small subunit ribosomal RNA", at positions 796 to 1044 of the family's 1533-position model. The record is from RNAcentral. Lineage: Bacteria; Bacillati; Cyanobacteriota; Cyanophyceae; Chroococcidiopsidales; Chroococcidiopsidaceae.